UCUACGGGUGGCAGCAGUGGGGAAUAUUGCGCAAUGGGCGAAAGCCUGACGCAGCGACGCCGCGUGAGGGAUGAAGGUCUUCGGAUCGUAAACCUCUGUCAGCAGGGAAGAACGGUCCCUGUUCUAAUCAGCAGUGAAUUUACUGUACCUGCAAAGGAAGCACCGUCUCACUCCGUGCCAGCAGCCGCGGUAAUACGGGGGGUGCGUGCGUUAAGCGGAAUUACUUGGCGUAAGGCGCUCGUAGGCGGUAGGUCAAGUCAAAGGUGAAAUCCCCGCGCUCAACGUGGGAACUGCCGUUGAAACUGGGAAACUGGAGUGUGUGAGAGGAUAGUGGAAUUCGAGGUGUAGGAGUGAAAUCCGUAGAUAUCGGGAGGAACAUCAGUUGCGAAGGCGACUAUCUGGAACAUAACUGACGCUGAGGAGCGAAAGCGUGGGUAGCAAACAGGAUUAGAUACCCGAGUAGUC
This 465-nucleotide ribosomal RNA is filed under the name uncultured bacterium. RNAcentral describes it as "partial 16S ribosomal RNA". It matches the Rfam family "Bacterial small subunit ribosomal RNA", at positions 338 to 795 of the family's 1533-position model. The record is from RNAcentral.